UAGGGAAUUUUCCACAAUGGGGGCAACCCUGAUCCAGCCAUGCCGCGUGUGUGAAGAAGGCCUUCGGGUUGUAAAGCACUUUAAGGGGGGAGGAAGGUUCGCUGGUUAAUACCCAGCGGAAUUGACGUUACCCCCAGAAAAAGCACCGGCUAACUACGUGCCAGCAGCCGCGGUAAUACGUAGGGUGCAAGCGUUAUCCGGAAUUAUUGGGCGUAAAGAGCUCGUAGGCGGUUUGUCGCGUCUGCUGUGAAAACCCGAGGCUCAACCUCGGGCCUGCAGUGGGUACGGGCAGACUAGAGUGCGGUAGGGGAGAUUGGAAUUCCUGGUGUAGCGGUGGAAUGCGCAGAUAUCAGGAGGAACACCGAUGGCGAAGGCAGAUCUCUGGGCCGUAACUGACGCUGAGGAGCGAAAGCGUGGGGAGCGAA
Molecule: ribosomal RNA, 425 nt
Filed under: uncultured bacterium
Lineage: Bacteria
Description: bacterial SSU rRNA
Rfam family: Bacterial small subunit ribosomal RNA
Source: RNAcentral